AGUGAACGCUGGCGGUAGGCCUAACACAUGCAAGUCGAACGGCAGCACAGUAAGAGCUUGCUCUUACGGGUGGCGAGUGGCGGACGGGUGAGGAAUACAUCGGAAUCUACUUUUUCGUGGGGGAUAACGUAGGGAAACUUACGCUAAUACCGCAUACGACCUACGGGUGAAAGCAGGGGAUCUUCGGACCUUGCGCGAUUGAAUGAGCCGAUGUCGGAUUAGCUAGUUGGCGGGGUAAAGGCCCACCAAGGCGACGAUCCGUAGCUGGUCUGAGAGGAUGAACAGCCACACUGGAACUGAGACACGGUCCAGACUCCUACGGGAGGCAGCAGUGGGGAAUAUUGGACAAAGGGCGCAAGCCUGAUCCAGCCAUACCGCGUGGGUGAAGAAGGCCUUCGGGUUGUAAAGCCCUUUUGUUGGGAAAGAAAAGCAGCAGGUUAAUACCCCGCUGUUCUGACGGUACCCAAAGAAUAAGCACCGGCUAACUUCGUG
Molecule: ribosomal RNA, 492 nt
Filed under: uncultured bacterium
Lineage: Bacteria
Description: partial 16S ribosomal RNA
Rfam family: Bacterial small subunit ribosomal RNA
Source: RNAcentral